This 253-nucleotide ribosomal RNA is filed under the name uncultured bacterium. Its description in RNAcentral is "partial 16S ribosomal RNA". It matches the Rfam family "Bacterial small subunit ribosomal RNA", at positions 524 to 776 of the family's 1533-position model. The record is from RNAcentral.
UACGAAGGGGGCUAGCGUUGCUCGGAAUCACUGGGCGUAAAGGGUGCGUAGGCGGGUCUUUAAGUCCGGGGUGAAAUCCUGGAGCUCAACUCCAGAACUGCCUUUGAUACUGAGGAUCUUGAGUUCGUGAGAGGUGAGUGGAACUGCGAGUGUAGAGGUGAAAUUCGUAGAUAUUCGCAAGAACACCAGUGGCGAAGGCGGCUCACUGGCCCGAUACUGACGCUGAGGCACGAAAGCGUGGGGAGCAAACAGG